CCCGCCGAAGACACCCCGAACUCUGUCUGAAGAAUGCAGUCUGAGAACAAAUAUAAAUUAUUUAAAACUUUCAACAACGGAUCUCUUGGUUCCGGCAUCGAUGAAGAACGCAGCGAAAUGCGAUACGUAAUGUGAAUUGCAAAUUCAGUGAAUCAUCGAGUCUUUGAACGCACAUUGCGCCCCCUGGUAUUCCGGGGGGCAUGCCUGUCCGAGCGUCAUUGCUGCCCUCAAGCCCGGCUUGUGUGUUGGGUCUCGUCCUCCGAUUCCGGAGGACGGGCCCGAAAGGCAGCGGCGGCACCGCGUCCGGUCCUCGAGCGUAUGGGGCUUUGUCACCCGCUCUGUAGGCCCGGCCGGCGCUUGCCGAUCAACCCAAAUUUUUAUCCAGGUUGACCUCGGAUCAGGUAGGGAUACCCGCUGAACUUAAGCAUAUCAAUAAGCGGAGGAA
Molecule: ribosomal RNA, 445 nt
Filed under: Penicillium cf. roqueforti
Lineage: Eukaryota; Fungi; Ascomycota; Eurotiomycetes; Eurotiales; Aspergillaceae
Description: eukaryotic LSU rRNA
Rfam family: 5.8S ribosomal RNA (bases 66-218)
Source: RNAcentral